AUUGAACGCUAGCGGGAUGCCUUACACAUGCAAGUCGAACGGCAGCACGGACUUCGGUCUGGUGGCGAGUGGCGAACGGGUGAGUAAUGUAUCGGAACGUGCCCAGUAGCGGGGGAUAACUACGCGAAAGCGUAGCUAAUACCGCAUACGCCCUACGGGGGAAAGCAGGGGAUCGCAAGACCUUGCACUAUUGGAGCGGCCGAUAUCGGAUUAGCUAGUUGGUGGGGUAACGGCUCACCAAGGCGACGAUCCGUAGCUGGUUUGAGAGGACGACCAGCCACACUGGGACUGAGACACGGCCCAGACUCCUACGGGAGGCAGCAGUGGGGAAUUUUGGACAAUGGGGGAAACCCUGAUCCAGCCAUCCCGCGUGUGCGAUGAAGGCCUUUGGGUUGUAAAGCACUUUUGGCAGGAAAGAAACGUCGCGGGUUAAUACCUCGCGAAACUGACGGUACCUGCAGAAUAAGCACCGGCUAACUACGUG
RNAcentral lists this ribosomal RNA (484 nucleotides) under uncultured bacterium. RNAcentral describes it as "partial 16S ribosomal RNA". It matches the Rfam family "Bacterial small subunit ribosomal RNA", at positions 30 to 507 of the family's 1533-position model. The record is from RNAcentral.